UCACAUGUUUUCAUAGGCCCCUGAAAAGCCCGGAGGCCCUGGGUACUGUGCCUUUAGUGCCACGUGGAAAGAACAGCUUGGGCUCAGGACUUCAGGUGGUCUCCACCCGGCCACUGGAGAGAAUGAGACAAAAAAGCCCCAGAUGAGGAAACUCAAGAAGCUAUGAAAGGUGAAGGCAUUUGCUCAGAGUCACACAGCUACUGAGGAGCAAACCAAGGAUUUAACCCUUCAUCCCUUUAGCUUUGAGGAUCUUUCAGCUGCCCAGUGCCCGUGAAGAUGAAUAAAUAUUAACUAUUACUAUUAUCAUUAUCAGAAUCUUCCUCUCCCUGAAGGAAUUAAGAGAAGAAAAAGCAUCCUCAUUCUACCGCUUACUAGCUGUGUAACCAUGGGUAAUGUACUUAAUCUGUCUGUGCCUCAGUUUGUUCACCUAUAAAAUGGGGAUAUAGGACCUACCUCAAA
Homo sapiens (human) is the source of this 459-nucleotide long non-coding RNA. RefSeq lists it as uncharacterized. Lineage: Eukaryota; Metazoa; Chordata; Mammalia; Primates; Hominidae. The record is from RefSeq and is a predicted model, not a curated record. The transcript is spliced from 2 exons.